CGGGGCGUAGCGCAGUCUGGUAGCGCAUCCGCUUUGGGAGCGGAGGGUCGGUUGGGUUCGAAUCCCCCCGCCCCGA
This 76-nucleotide transfer RNA is filed under the name Terriglobia bacterium. RNAcentral's name for it is "tRNA-Pro". It matches the Rfam family "tRNA". Rfam says of the family: Transfer RNA (tRNA) molecules are approximately 80 nucleotides in length. The record is from RNAcentral. Lineage: Bacteria; Pseudomonadati; Acidobacteriota; Terriglobia.